Molecule: long non-coding RNA, 1735 nt
Organism: Quercus robur (English oak)
Lineage: Eukaryota; Viridiplantae; Streptophyta; Magnoliopsida; Fagales; Fagaceae
Exons: 3
Source: RefSeq, a predicted model, not a curated record
UUUUUGUAUCCCUUGAUUUGUUAUCACUUUUUUGGCAAUUGAACAAGACUCAAAACACAAAAUAAUAGUCUUUGGUGUGUAGAACAACUCGCUACAGCAUAUUCCAGAAAAUAAGAAAAUUACCAAACUACCCCUAGUUUUAGUAAGACUUUAUUAAAACUGAACCAGCAACUUUCUAAAGUAAAGAAACUAAAUACUUAGAUUUAAUAACAACUAAAGUAGCCUUUAAAAGGUGCCAAAAAGCCCCCCACGUCAAAAUUAGUCCAUAAUUCUAGGUUUACUAUUUAAUCUUGUUUCUCCUUGAACACUUUACUUUUUGCAUCAUUAAGCCUAACGUAUAAGUUAUCAUUUGUCCUUAAUGCCAUUAUCUUUCAGGUACUUAAUAUACCGACUAAGAUGAAUGAGCUGUUGGUGCCAUAUUGUCAGCAACUGAUUCAGUUUGCACGCUGCAGGGACAAGGAGCUUGUCAUUUCCUUCAAUGGGAGGAUACUCAAGAAAUUACCACAAUUAAUGAUCUUGUAGAUGAAAGCAAACAUGGCAUAUCUGUAGAUUCUACUUCAACAAGCCAUGAGUUAGUCACUAAAAUGGGUGAUUUGAGUACUAAUAAUUGAAAGAGGAAGUUUGAUUCACUAGAGAUGGAAAAUCCUCAACAUCUCCCAACUUCUGUGGCUGUACAUGAACAUUUUGAGAAAGAUCAAGAGCCUGUCAUAGAGAGGAGUGAACAUGAUGAGAGUUCAGAGAAUUUAACAUCUACAAAGUAUAUUGAUCCAUCACGAGUUGAGGACUCUUCAAAUCUCCAAGACCUAGCUGUGCUGGAGGUUGAGUUGACUGUAAGUGAACCUUCUGCUCUUACUGUAUCUUUGCAUUCUUGUUGGCCUUUUGCCAAUGGUGAUUGGUACAGUUUUUGUGUCAAUCAUAAACUCCUCGUGUAUGCACUCCAUCUGUGUUCAGUGUGAAAUGCUCCUGUCUAUCAUCAUUAAUUGUCUGAUAUUUAACUAGUUAACACUUGUGACAUGGUAUGACCUGAUUAGACAUGGUGUGACUUGGGUGGGGUAGUGUGAGUUGUGAGGGUGGUUUUGAUAGUUGUGGAAAAAAAUGCCCACACCUUAUAUGGAGGAAGUGGGGAAUAUUUGGCUAAACAAAAACGGGAAGGCUGCUAUCCUUAUAUAUGAAUUCUCAAUUUACAUGCUGGAUUGGCUACAUUAAUUCUUACAUCUAAAUUUUGGAUGGAGUGAGUGUACUGCUCUCCAACCCCCCACCUCCAAUCCUUUUGUUUUACUUGUUGUUGGCUAGCAAGGUAUUAUCGGCCAAUUGACUAUAAUUGGAGCCUAUCUUUAGCUAAACUAGAGCUUUCAAUCUUUUUUGCAACUCAAGUUUGCAUCCUUUCCUGCCAUUGUCCUUUCGGUGCUGCAAUUCAGAUCAUUUGUGUCCAUUGGUGCAGCCAUUGGACAACAACAAAUCUUGCACUUGAUCAUGGCAGCUUGCCCUGAAUUAAUGCAAGCCAUAAGCCUGUAACCACCAAGAAUUAAGCAAGCAUCUUCUUUUGCCAUAUGCCCUUCUGAUCAGUUUGUGCCUGUCUGACUAUCAUGAUCUGAUAGGUACAGGAACAUGCCAAUUUUGCUGUGUUUGAAGUAUUUAGGAUUCUAGAAAGAAAAAAAAUGAUAAAAACUUAGGAUUCUUUUUGACAAUAAUCUGAACUUUUUGAAUAUAUUUAUAUUGUAGCCAAAGAAAGAAA